This 253-nucleotide ribosomal RNA is filed under the name uncultured bacterium. Its description in RNAcentral is "partial 16S ribosomal RNA". It matches the Rfam family "Bacterial small subunit ribosomal RNA", at positions 524 to 776 of the family's 1533-position model. The record is from RNAcentral.
UACGGAGGAGGCAAGCGUUAUCCGGAAUCAUUGGGCGUAAAGCGCGUGUAGGCGGCUCGGUAAGUCCGCUCUGAAAGUCCGGGGCUCAACCCUGGGAUGCGGGUGGAUACUGCCGAGCUCGAGUCCGGAAGAGGCGAGUGGAAUUCCUGGUGUAGCGGUGAAAUGCGCAGAUAUCAGGAGGAACACCAAUGGCGAAGGCAGCUCGCUGGGACGUGACUGACGCUGAGACGCGAAAGCGUGGGGAGCGAACAGG